This 460-nucleotide ribosomal RNA is filed under the name uncultured bacterium. RNAcentral describes it as "partial 16S ribosomal RNA". It matches the Rfam family "Bacterial small subunit ribosomal RNA", at positions 338 to 795 of the family's 1533-position model. The record is from RNAcentral.
CCUACGGGAUGCAGCAGUGAGGACUAUUGGUCAAUGGACGAGAGUCUGAACCAGCCAAGUAGCGUGAAGGAUGACUGCCCUAUGGGUUGUAAACUUCUUUUAUAAAGGAAUAAAACGAGGCACGUGUGCCUUUUUGCAUGUACUUUAUGAAUAAGGAUCGGCUAACUCCGUGCCAGCAGCCGCGGUAAUACGGUGGAUCCGAGCGUUAUCCGGAUUUAUUGGGUUUAAAGGGAGCGUAGAUGGUUUGUUAAGUCCGUUGUGAAAUUUUGCGGCUCAACCGUAAAAUUGCAAUUGAUACUGGCAGUCUUGAGUACAGUUGAGGUAGGCGGAAUUCGUGGUGUAGCGGUGAAAUGCUUAGAUAUCACGAAGAACCCCGAUUGCGAAGGCAGCUUACUAAACUGUGACUGACAUUGAUGCUCGAAAGUGUGGGUAUCAAACAGGAUUAGAUACCCGAGUAGUC